UCAGAGAGAUGCGUGAAUGGUAGCCUCAGGCGACCGGUGUGCGGCUUGGUCGGAUAUUCCAUGUGGCUUGCGUGUGGGUCUCCGAUGGGACGACAUUUUGCGCAGCAUCUGAUUCAUAACGUGUUCUUGUCGGUAUCGGGUAGAGAGCGGCGGAUCUAAAGCGCAAAUGGGUUGCUCGUGGUUUGAGGAGGCGAGGUCGUCAGAAUCUCGGUAGUGAGAGUCUCGGCGGCAUCUGAGGGAUACGUUUGUUACUGUUUCGUCGGUAUCGAAUCUGAGUAUUCUUCUUCUCUUUUCUGGUUUCACCACGCCGUCUUCUACCACCGUCGUCAU
This is a non-coding RNA of Vicia faba (fava bean), 330 nucleotides long. The record is from the annotation of a GenBank genome assembly. NCBI's taxonomy places the organism in Eukaryota, Viridiplantae, Streptophyta, Magnoliopsida, Fabales, Fabaceae.